CUGGAUCUCGCCAGGCGUCCACGCUGCCCUCCAAUAGUUUAGUCAUUGUUCGGGUUGGUCCAUUGUGACUGUGCGCGCCAGGGUCUCACGCCCCGGGAACUGCGGUGGUCCCUGAGGCCACCACCGCCCCAGCCUUUCCUACUACAAGAGUUGGGAGCUCAGCUCUUCAUAAACUACGACAUCCCCAAGGACAGUUCUGAGGCUUGCCUUUCAGAUGAAGAAACUGAGGCAAGGUGGGGGUAACCAAACUGGUCGUCCUCCCGGAUGCGGGGCGGGUCCUCGCACCGAGUGGUUAACCUGGGUGCACACAGCGCCUGACAGUUGCGCAACGCCUCCCUGGACCAUCAAGCAUUUCUAUAGUCCCAGCCUACAUCUCCGACACCUCCGCCCCUACCUGCCCUUCCACAGCUCAAAUUUCAGUUCCCUCUAACUUACCUUUGCCCUACCUCCACCUUCCCUGGACACUCCACUGCAAAUCGUCGGGACAAGACCCAGGAAAGUAAAGCUGCAACCUAGUCCAACCCCCCUCACAAGAACUUAACUCGCCACAAGAUGCCUUUGUGCUUGGUUUAAAAAAAAA
Peromyscus leucopus (white-footed mouse) is the source of this 580-nucleotide long non-coding RNA. RefSeq lists it as uncharacterized. The record is from RefSeq and is a predicted model, not a curated record. The transcript has 2 exons. NCBI's taxonomy places the organism in Eukaryota, Metazoa, Chordata, Mammalia, Rodentia, Cricetidae.